RNAcentral lists this ribosomal RNA (301 nucleotides) under uncultured bacterium. RNAcentral describes it as "partial 16S ribosomal RNA". It matches the Rfam family "Bacterial small subunit ribosomal RNA", at positions 509 to 807 of the family's 1533-position model. The record is from RNAcentral.
CAGCCGCCACGGGAAUACGUAGGGUGCAAGCGUUAAUCGGAAUUACUGGGCGUAAAGCGUGCGCAGGCGGUUUGUUAAGACAGAUGUGAAAUCCCCGGGCUCAACCUGGGAACUGCAUUUGUGACUGGCAAGCUAGAGUCUGGCAGAGGGGGGUGGAAUUCCGCGUGUAGCAGUGAAAUGCGUAGAUAUGCGGAGGAACACCGAUGGCGAAGGCAGCCCCCUGGGCCAACACUGACGCUCAUGCACGAAAGCGUGGGGAGCAAACAGGAUUAGAUACCCCAGUAGUCCCUGUCUCUUAUAC